This 325-nucleotide ribosomal RNA is filed under the name Physarum nivale. RNAcentral's name for it is "bacterial SSU rRNA". It matches the Rfam family "Eukaryotic small subunit ribosomal RNA", at positions 80 to 350 of the family's 1831-position model. The record is from RNAcentral. Lineage: Eukaryota; Evosea; Eumycetozoa; Physariida; Physaraceae.
UCUGAAUCUGCGAACGGCUCCGCAAACCAGUUGUAAACCAUAGCAAGCAUGCCCCAGGAAAGCCGCAAGGCCGCCCUGGGGCUACAAGGAUAACCCCGGUAAUUCUGAGGCUAAUACAUGAACGUACCCCCUGGUCGAUGGGCAACCUGAAGCCGGGGACCGUGCGAGACCUCGCAAAAAAAUAUCGGAAAAGUCGCACAGUAAGACCGUCAUACCAAACAGUCCUUCUUUGCCGUCCUCACGGGCGGUAGGGUCGGUCUGGGCGGCUCUUGCAAGGUGCUUCUGACCUAUCAACUAGAUGGCAGCGUAAGGGACAUGCUAUGGU